Molecule: long non-coding RNA, 548 nt
Filed under: Dromaius novaehollandiae (emu)
Lineage: Eukaryota; Metazoa; Chordata; Aves; Casuariiformes; Dromaiidae
Description: lncRNA (ENSDNVG00000016482.1)
Source: RNAcentral
GUGGUCAUAUGCGCUGUAGUGGAAGAGUAGGUGGAGGAGAUUGUCAAAAAACAAGCUGAAACUUCCCCGGGGUGAUACAUGGCGUACGCCCAGGAUAUCCAGAAGCUGUGGAAGACUGCAGAGAACAGGUACACUCUUGUAACUCACCGAAAAAGUGCCUUCUGGACUGUAUAUGAUUCAUCAAAACUACACAGACAAAAUAUAAAAUAAAUCUCCUCCAGUCAUAUGCACACACGAAUCUUACUGAAACCAAGACACAACUACACCCACUUCUGAGGAGAGGAUUAAAGAACAGCAUGUGACAUGCAUUACUGGAAUACACUUGAGAUACUAUGGUGAUGAGUGUAUGUAGACUAGAACUGUCAAGUUUAAUUCCAGGAUUUAUUAUAGGGCAUGUAUUUUUAGCCUGUCUCCUAAAGAUAGGAGACUAGGACCAUAUAACUAUGUACCAGCCCAGUUCUUUCCCUUCCCUUCUGCCUUUCCUCUCCGACACCUUCCCGGGAGCUUUUAACCCAAUGACCAGUUUGACAAAGGGGUCAAAAACUGAG